Molecule: ribosomal RNA, 292 nt
Filed under: uncultured bacterium
Lineage: Bacteria
Description: partial 16S ribosomal RNA
Rfam family: Bacterial small subunit ribosomal RNA
Source: RNAcentral
GUGUCAGCCGCCGCGGUAAGACGUAGGGCGCGAGCGUUGUCCGGAUUUAUUGGGCGUAAAGAGCUCGUAGGCGGCUUGUUGCGUCAGCUGUGAAAACCCGCAGCUCAACUGUGGGCUUGCAGCUGAUACGGGCAGGCUUGAGUUCGGUAGGGGAGACUGGAAUUCCUGGUGUAGCGGUGAAAUGCGCAGAUAUCAGGAGGAACACCGGUGGCGAAGGCGGGUCUCUGGGCCGAUACUGACGCUGAGGAGCGAAAGCGUGGGGAGCGAACAGGAUUAGAUACCCGCGUAGUCC